RNAcentral lists this ribosomal RNA (253 nucleotides) under uncultured bacterium. RNAcentral's name for it is "partial 16S ribosomal RNA". It matches the Rfam family "Bacterial small subunit ribosomal RNA", at positions 524 to 776 of the family's 1533-position model. The record is from RNAcentral.
UACGUAGGGUGCAAGCGUUAAUCGGAAUUACUGGGCGUAAAGCGUGCGCAGGCGGCUAUGCAAGGCAGAUGUGAAAUCCCCGGGCUUAACCUGGGAACUGCAUUUGCGACUGCAUGGCUAGAGUACGGCAGAGGGGGAUGGAAUUCCGCGUGUAGCAGUGAAAUGCGUAGAUAUGCGGAGGAACAUCGAUGGCGAAGGCAAUCCCCUGGGCCCGUACUGACGCUCAUGCACGAAAGCGUGGGGAGCAAACAGG